CAUCAUUCUCACUUUCUCCUUGAGGACGAUUUUGCGGCCUGUUUCAGUGUCACUUAAAGCCCAGCUCUCAGUCUUCUGCUCUGUCAGCACAAGGUUUGCAGGAGGGCACGGAGGAGUAAAGAAAGGACAGAAGAAGUUACAGUGAUGCUUGAAAGUUCUUCAGAAUCAGAAUCAGAAUCAGAACAAUCUUUAUUGCCAGCCCACCAAGCUGCUACUGCUGAACCUAUUAGCCAGGCCCUUUGCUCAGUUGUAUAAAAAUCCAUCCAGAGCACCAGAGAAACAAAAACCCCCCACAUAUCAACCACCCGUAUGGAGUCGAAGGUAAAGAGCAGUGUGAAACCAGGUACCAAAACGGAGAAGAAAGAAGUGGCACCCCCUCCAAAACUGAAUCCUGCUGAACCUGCGCCACCUGCAGAGGUGGAAAAACCAGCACAAGAUGGCAACCAAGAGGGAGCGCAGGAAGAAAACGAGGCAGCUGGAGGCUGCUGUGAAACCCUGGAGAACCUGAAGCCGUUCCUCAUUGGUGGAGCUAUAGUAGCACUCGGAGCCGUGUUUGUGGGCUUGGUCUUAUUAGCCAGAAAGAAGUGACUAUGAUGUGAUUGUCCAACAGGUUCACGGGUGCCUGGGGCACAGCUUGGGGGGCAGGGGAGGGGAGUGCUUAAAAACAGGGGGGAAGGGGGGGUUUCACACCAUAGUCCACAUUAAGCUUUCAUUUAAGCUGUGUGUUAUCAUCACAGUCAUCACUGUAGGAAUAGGAGCUCACAUGAGCCAUGUUCAGAUGCAAAAGCGACACUAAUAAACACUCAGAUCCUGACAGAUUAAACGACUCUACAAAGAUAAAAGGCAACUAGUAACUUGCCUAGAGAUGUAGCAAACAUGCUAUCCUAGCAAAAAACUCAUUAUAAAUGUCUAAUAAUCAUAAAGCUCACUUGCUUAUCAGCAAUUUUACAUGCUAGCUGAUGUAGCCAAUGUUAGUUUACACAGCAGUGCAGUUUUAUUCCUAUUAAUAGAGACAAUACGUUCUGCCAGUCAUCCUGGAGAUCAGAGUCAGAGCUGUUGCAUCAGAUUUAGUUAUUUUAGAGCCCAAAUUACAACACACCAUUGCACCACAGACAUUGGAUGCCCAACAACAUCAGGGUGGACGGCAUUGUAUUUUCUCAAUCAGAUUGUUUAUAGCUGCUGUUUCUUACAGCCUUUGUGCUCUAUAACCUGUAAAGCAAAAGUCAGGAUUGUUUAUUAUUAUUGUCCUUUUUGCAAGCAGACUGAAACCCAUCUAUUUCUUAGUGACCAUAAAUUGCAAAGAAAUGAAAAAUUAAAGUUUAGAAAACACAUUAACGGAAACACACUAGACAGAUGACGGGCAUGACGGAGCUGCAGCUCACUGUUUUAUAGCCAUUCAGUAAUGUCAGUAAGACACAUGUACUGAAACACACUGCCUUUAUCUGGACAUGUAACCAGGUAUCAAGGACAAUGAAGAGUCUGUGUUCCCUCAAGUGCGUAUGUUAUGCAAUAAUAUAAAUAGCACUCUGUAGAUCUACUGAGAGAAGCGUGUGAUGGAGAUGACAAGCUGAAUGAAUGUGCUGAAAAUUCUAUGAAAUAUGAAAUGUAAAUGUGUUUCAGAAAUAUGAAGCUCUAACAGAUAUAUUUUCCUGGUUGUUUUGCGCUCCACCCCACCCCUAACAACCCCCCUCCCCCUCCCCCUUCUUAUGUACAAUAAAAUCAUGAUGUCUGAAACACAAUGUGUUUGGUUUAAGCUUUUUUUUUUCAGAGUGCCUGUGUUAUUCAGUCUGUGCUGAAGGACAUUAGUUUUAUUUGUAGAGAUAAAUUUUAAUCUGACUUCUAAACCAUAUGGCCAUGUGCACCACUGACCCCACACCCACACGUAUGUCUGUUAAACGUCUCAUUCCGAAUGAGCUCCUCUCUUCUGUUUUGUGAAGGUUUUCCACAAGAUGUUGGAUUGUGGUUGUGGGGAUUAGUGAUCAUUCAGCUACAAGAGCAUCAGUGAGAUCAGACUCUGGGACAUUGUUAUACUGGAACAGGGUGUGUAGCUCCAUUAAAAGGGACAUCGUAAAGCUACAGCACACAGGUAUUUAGUAAGUGUUGAGUAUAACUUCAGACUUUGUGGACAACCACAUGUGUGUGUGAUGAUGGUCAGGGGGCACAUACUUUGGGCCAUAGUAAAUCUAACAGACUACAGUUCCACUGUAGUAAGUAUGUGCAAAAAGACACCUAAUAGGCACAACCUUUAAAGCAACGCAUUUAUUCAGUUGUAAUAAAUUGUAUUUAUUUGCUAAAAGAGUUUAAGUUCACUGUAUGUUUUUAGUAGUUUGUGUUUCUCUCCGGAACUGUUUUCACCCCGAACUCGUUUCUUUCCGUGCCAUUUUUUCCGUGAACACGACAAACCGGAAGCGACACGCUUUCCUCGUUUGUUUUGAAGAACGUGUUGUGUUUUCUCACGCAGUCUGUUUGUGCAGGAGAUCAGACAUGAUUAUCCCAAUCCGCUGCUUCACCUGUGGGAAGAUUGUAGGGAACAAGUGGGAGGCUUACCUGGGACUCCUACAGGCAGAAUACACAGAGGGAGAUGCUCUGGAUGCUCUGGGCUUGAAGAGAUACUGCUGUCGCAGGAUGCUGCUGUCUCACGUCGAUCUGAUCGAGAAACUGCUGAACUACGCACCACUGGAGAAAUAAGACUCGUUUCAGAUCUCUCUCUCUCUCUCUCUCUCUCUCUCUCUCUCUCUCUCCCCCCUGGUUGUGUUCACUCAUUCUUUUCCCAAUGUUUUAUAAAUAAAGUAGUAAAGACCA
Molecule: RNA transcript, 2802 nt
Organism: Tachysurus fulvidraco (yellow catfish)
Lineage: Eukaryota; Metazoa; Chordata; Actinopteri; Siluriformes; Bagridae
Gene: polr2l
Gene name: RNA polymerase II, I and III subunit L
Exons: 6
Source: RefSeq, a predicted model, not a curated record